Molecule: transfer RNA, 70 nt
Filed under: Kryptopterus bicirrhis (glass catfish)
Lineage: Eukaryota; Metazoa; Chordata; Actinopteri; Siluriformes; Siluridae
Also listed under: 1 other name
Description: tRNA-His
Rfam family: tRNA
About the family: Transfer RNA (tRNA) molecules are approximately 80 nucleotides in length. Their secondary structure includes four short double-helical elements and three loops (D, anti-codon, and T loops).
Source: RNAcentral
GUAGAUAUAGUUUAACUUAAAACAUUAGAUUGUGGUUCUAAAAAUAAGGGUUAACUCCCUCUUAUCCACC